Molecule: long non-coding RNA, 8817 nt
Organism: Cygnus olor (mute swan)
Lineage: Eukaryota; Metazoa; Chordata; Aves; Anseriformes; Anatidae
Exons: 2
Source: RefSeq, a predicted model, not a curated record
AAAGUGAAUUUACUGGGGGCAACACUAAAAUUAAACAUCAAGAAAAGUCGCAAGAAGCAGAAUUACAACAUGACAGUGAAACAAAUCAAAAAGUAGUUUUGUAGUAGUUUUUUACUAUUAAAAGUAGUAAUGUAAAAUUAUGUUGGAUGAAGCCUAGGACCAAUUUCCUUGUGGAACAACCUCUUAGAACAAAACUUUGUUCCUCUUCACACAUAUAACUCGCAACAACUCCUGAAUCUAUUUUCACUGCCUUUUCUACUCUGCUCUCCACAUCACUAAGAUCAUCCCACUACCAUAAACACAAAGUGGAGUCAGGAAUGCCCAAAUAAUUAACAGUGUUAACAGCGAAACAUACCCGACAAUUAACGUGGGGGGAAGGAUGCCUGUUAAGUGAGCAGGACCAAAGGCAGCAAUGUACAGGAAACACAUCUACAUGAGAACUUCACCCUAGUCAUUUUCUGCCCAGCAGGAGAGCAAGCCAGUUUAAGAACAAAACAGGACAGUAUUAUGGAGAUAACCAAGCCCAGCUAGGCAAAGAAAAACAUAUAACCCUAAGACAAAUUCUGCAUUUGUCACCGGAGGGCACAGGGUCACAAAACCUCACCUACCAGAAAUGAGGUAUCAGAAUGAGUCAGCUAUCUCAGCUGUCUUCGCUUAUAAAGUUGUCAUACGUCUGGUGUGAGAUAAAUCUUACUUUUAAUUGCCACGUAUAUUCUAAAGAACAUCCUUUAAAAUCUGACUUGCGUGCAAUAACAAGUCUGAACGCACAGGACAGGAGCCCAAACUGUAACUCUGUCAAGUAACAUUAGAUGGUUCAAAGACACAACGGGGAUGGGAGGAAUCAUCUCUGUUUUUAUUACAGGAAUUAUUGGGAAGGGGGUGAGGAAGUGCAAUAAUAAAGCUUACAGAGAUGCCGUUUUCUCUCUCUCUCUGUGCCAACACAUUGCACUAAGACAACUCAAGUUUGUAUUUUAUGGAAAACAAAAGCCCUUUACAAACAGAAGCAAAACAUACAUAUAAAAGCCCUGACAUUAUAUUCAGAAAGAGAAAUCUGACACCAAAUCCCAACAAAAAGGCUCCUCAGACGCAUGAACUUCUGAGUGAAAGGCAAGGCAAUCACCACAAAUGGAACUCGGCGCUUGAUACUCCAUUAUCCACUUAGCUGUAUCCAAAUACUACUAGGUCUUUUGUGUGCUUAAGCAAAAGAAAUGUCUUAUUACUAAUUUUGCAAUUUUCACUCUUUACAGGUAUACAUAUUACUUUCUAACCUGUGGAUUUGCAUACACAUGGAUGAAAACAAUUGGUUUAACGUACAAGGGCAUGCACUGCAACACAGAACUCCGGGCGACGGCAAUAAUGACAAAAGCGAGAUAUUCCAAUAAACUGAAAUGUAGAUUAAUCACCUCUACUGUUUAAUUCUACAUAAACACAACUCAGUGAAUAAGCACAGAGUUAGAUUUCUACAGCCUACGUGUACAAGCAGAAGAGCUCAACUGUGCGUGGAAACCAAGUGCCACGCUGCAAAGCAGCACGGUGCAGGAGGAACGGGGCUGGGAGCGCGGCGAAACGCAGGUUCUCUUCCGCACUUACUAUUAAGGCAAUGUCACGUUUAACCAGCUGCUUCUCACUGCCGUGAAGAAUAUGAGGAUGUUUAAAAUAUUUGGCACGUUUCGUGUUGUCAGAAUUUGUCACAGUACACCAGAAUUUGCCCUGGCCCCAAUGUUUAAGCUAAAAAAGAUACUGCAUUUGUUAAGUGUGUUGAAAACAACUUUUGUUACCAUGCCCACUCUUUUUUUGCGUUUCACCUUGCCAAAUACACAAUUUUUUAAUUCAGUGACAGAUUUAGUACACUGUAGAUCUUCAGAGAAGUAUUUCCCAGGGAUAGGCUGACAUCACCAGCCAUGCACAAGGCAGACAAGAAGAGUCAUGUUAAUUUUGAGCUCCAUUAAGCACAGGAAAGGAAGAAGGAAACAAAUAAAAAAAUCUUUACCAACUUGUAAAAAAAUCAGCAGAUACUCAGAAAAAAAAAAAUCAAGAAUUUUUAAGUAGCGUUACACAUAGCUGACAGGCUUUCAAAAAACCUUGACUAAAGAACUGAAAAAAGUCUGAAUAUUUGCUUUAUUUUGUGCACAAAAGAAUGCGAGGAGACAGGCUGUUUGCUAAUCAGUCACCUACUGAUAAAGUGAAUCUCGGGUUACUCGGAGUCAAUUGGUGUCUGGUAACAGUUCACUUUACUGAUCAUCAAACAGGUCUUGAAUAGAUAAAACCAGUCUUUUUCUUAAAUAGGAGAUAGCGACACGACAGAGGCUGUCCUGGCACUGAAGUAAACCAGGCGUCACUCCGAAGUUGCUAUGCGACUUGCAUUCAUACGGUACCGCUAUUUGGAAACACAUUUUGAAGAGAAUGGAGGUUAAUUUUGCAAUGACUAACUCGUUUCAGCCUUGAUUGUACUACGAGCUAAUGCAGCAAAGUUCUUAUCUUGAAUUAAGCAGGGUGUACAUAAAGGACUGCCAAAUCGAUACGCAAAAGAACACAGCUACCAAGACAGAGCUUUCAUCCCGUCAGAAUACAUCCAUCAGCUUACAGAACCGCUUCUGCCCAGGAAAGGUUCCCAACUCAGCCCUCUCGGAUAACAUACGGCUCUCCACGCACUCCAGCACCGCUUGCUGACAACACGGGCCAGGCUAACAAAAUACGCUGUAAUGCCAUCAUAGCAUUUCACUCACUUAGCUCCACUGCCCACAGGUUAACAAGAGCCUCGAGACAGCUGCUCUAGGCAGCUCGUGCUGUCCAAGUCCAGAAAGGCUCUAACAAAGAUGACUUUUUUUUUUUUUUUUUACAAUAGAUUUCUAGUAAAUCCAGCAAAACACACACAGGCCACCUUCAGAUUGCCUUUCCUGUGAUGCAUGCCACUGACUGAUAUAUAAGCAUGAGUGUGCAUGCAUCUCCUCACCUUCGAUGCUGCCAUAUGCUACAGCUCCAUCAGAAGUAUUUGGAGAAUCACGAGAAUACAAAAAUUAAAAAAAAAAUGCAAGUUGUUUCCAGCCAUACCUUCAAUUUCAUUUGGCCGAUAAGAGCCCUACAUCUCUCCAUCUACCAGGAAGCAAACAGGCAUCAAGUCAUAGUCCUAAGUCAAUCAUGCAAAACCAAGAAAAACUAUGGGUGCUAGGUUUUAUGUGAGAAACACAAACAUUUUAACUGAGAUAAUCCUUCUCUGGUUUAAAACAGAUCAGCCACCACAGGGAUUCGCGCUAACAUUUGUGACAGCAGUUGUUACAAAGCAGAACCCCCGGAGUACAUCCAAAGGAAAACAUACUUUUUUUUUCUGCUUAAAGACUCAAGAAGUAGUAAGCCAGGAGAAGGAGAAUCAACAAGUCGCAAGCAGGCGACUUGCACCACCAGUCUGUAGCAUUUACCCGUUGAUUUGUUACUGCAGCACUAAGACAGAAAAUCCUCAAAUGAAAGAAAGAAGGUAGAAAGUUCAGAACUGAUCUGCAGCUCUGGUUUCACGUUAGCGCUACAGAUUAAGGCCUGAAACAAAAAUGAGGAUAUCAGCUAGCCUUUGUUUGGGGUUUAAAGCUUUGAUGGCUUAAAAUAAAGCUCAACAGAUAGUCCAACAAAUCAAGCAAACCCAUUCUGCUCUGCUCACCUUCACGCUAUUAGCUGUCAUUCUGGUUUUAAAGGUUUCAACACUUUGGGUGUGUUUUUUAUUUUUUUUAAGCAAGUAAGAUCAUCGACUUCAGAAAAAAUUAAAGAGAUGCUACAGUUGCCUCCCAGAAAACAGCCUGGCUGUUAGCAAACUUUACUCCUGAUAGGACUACAGAAAAAGAAGCAGCCUUCUUCAGAGUAAAGUCCGGGAAAGUCUGUGUUUCCUUUGCCCUUUUGUCUCUCCAUCCAUAUUAAAAAGAAACAGAACUAUUCACUACUCGUGAAUCAGCCUCAGUGAUAGGGAACUGUGUAACCUUUGUAUCAGACAUCUGAGUGUAAGUGCUGACCUGGGAAGGUGGGCACAAGUGUUCUGCUAAGUCCUGAUGGUUCGGAUCGCACAGCUUCAGAACUGGUAUUGGUUACCUUGGAGUUCAUGGCACAAGGCUACUUCCUAACCUUUGGCCAAGAAACCAACCAUUUCUUUAAAAACCACGGUAUAGGGGACACAGCAGGGAUGAACACCAACGAGAAGAGGAAGGACUUGUAUUAUAUUCUUCCUCAGUGCCACAGACAUCAGCGCAGGGGGGCAUUCUCAAUGUGGCUUUGCAAACAGAAGCCCCGUAUGCAAGGCUCUACCGCGUGCGGAGUAAAAUGUAACGCCCGGGAACUCUCGUACCGCAGGCUGUGCCUUCACACCCAGAGGAAAGAGAACAUUACCUUCAGCACGUUUAAGGACCUUUUUACUCCUUAGAGGUUAAGGGCUAAGGAAUGUUGUUCGUAUACAGAACUGGAGACUUUCGGAAUAAUGAAGCUUGCAGUUGAUUUUGACACUUCUUACGGGCCUUCAGGGAGAAGGUAGUCCCCACAACACAUGGCAAGAACAUCCUUCCUGAGCGAAUCAGAUAGCUCGCACAGGCAGCCAAAGCGGAGUAUGCAGCUGAAAGAGAGACAUGCUUCUCGAAUCCUGGAAUCCUCUUUCAAAUUCUCCACGGGAUUUGUAAUCCAGAAGUUUGGUGCAUAUGCUAAAAAUGUUAAAGAAAAACAAGCUAAGAUUUCCUUAUUAAUUUAAGAAAUAAAAAUACCAAGUCUGAGAAGGCAGCACAGCCUGGUAAGAUUCCUCGCCCAUCUGUUAUGAUGAAAAGCAAAUUGCCUCAGCAACACUUCCCUGUUCCUGGACAGGUACACGAGGCAAGGCUGUAAGGGAGAAAGCAAGAGAGCAAGCAUGCCUCAACAGGCAUUCAAGGAGAAGGUCAUUUCAGCAAGAACUUAACCGGUCGAUAUAGACUGAACCACAAUACUUGCUACUGAAAAUAUGACACAGCAUUUAUUUGCUAGGAGAUUAUCAAACUUUUCCUACUCUGAAAGUUAGGAAAUGAACCGAACUCAUUUUGGUUUCAAGUAUCUAUGAAUUAAUUCUCUGUGAAUUAUUAGAAGAAAGGAUUCAAAGUCAGAAGAGAAUACACAUGAGUGGGGAGAUGAAUACCUGCGGAAAGAUCAUCACUGAUAAAGGAGAAUGCUUCUUCAAAUCCGAAAGCAUCAUUGGCUUGGAGCGUCCAUGUGAAGAAAGAAUAAUGGAAGAACAACAAGAAGAAAUAUGCUAGAAUGUGCCCACUAUCAAAGAGAGCAUACAGCCUGGGACAGGCAAUUAUGCUUUGGUCUGUCGUCAGAAACACAAAACAUUCUGAAAUUUCAGACAGGACCUUGUCUGUACCAUGGCCAUGCUCAUGACUACCAGAUCACUUCAUCACAACAUCAAGCACCUUUUCAGAGCAGCGACGUAAGAGCCAUUCAGAACUAGAAUGGCAGCUUCCCUCCAAGGUAGGAGGUCCAACAAGAGGGAAUUUAAUUGUAAAGGCAGCUGCCCUUCAAGUGCUGAAGCCAUUACUUACCAACUCCAAGACACAAAGAUGCAUCUACAUGUCUAACUGUUCUCUGAUGGAGACCAGGAACUGUUCAGCACUGCAAAACAGAUUUUCUCAUCUGUAACUGCAAAGGAAUAAGCAAAGCUUUUCAAGUGUGACUCUACAGACAAGACGGAGAAGCUGACGUGAAGGGCUGGCAGGAAGUCUUUUUAGCAUCCUCUGCCUCUUCCAUAAUUCCUGAGCAGGAAGCAACGCUGUCAAAUUUAAAGACCUCCUAUACAGUGUUACUUGGGAAGUAUUUUCUACAUCAAAAUACUCAAGAUAAAGCCCAUGACCUACAGAAGUUGAUGGCAAAACUCUUAUUCAAACAGAUACUACCACAAAUUAAAAAUCAAAGGCUUACUGGUCAAAGUCCCAAAGUCAAGACAGUCAACACUGACUUUGUGCCACCUGACAUACACCUUCAGUGCUGAAAUCUACUUCCAACUUUUUGUCUCCAUUAUUACAAUUCCAAGACCCAUUCUUCGGAUUUCUUCCUCUACCCGUUUUCCUGUUCCACUCCUCAAACAAUCUGACACUCGGGUUUUGUCUCCGCUUCUGCUUUACCAUCAGCAGCACAUCUACGCUGUUGCAAAGCCUCUUCCUACAAGAGCACGUAGCACAACUGCUGCACUUACUACUUUGGCCAAGAUGCAGGAAGGCAAGUGACAGCUUAGCUCCUUGAUGCAGAUGCAACGAUGCACCAGCAUGAGAGCUGAAAUCCCACGUAAGCAACGCUUCAGAAGCAAAUACAGUCCUGAAACCCUUCACCAGCAUUCCAGCAUCUUCACAGGUAUACUCGUAUUUACCUCUCGCUUCCGAUUGAGAAUUCGGAUCUACAUUCAGGAGAUAUCUUUCCAACCACAAACAAUGCUCUACGGCUAUUUUAUUUAAAACCCUGGAUGUAAAGCAUGCUGAACUGAGAGGUAAAGCUAAUAAAAGGCUAUUUGUGGGAAAGGUACGUAUUAAAAAUGAACAGCAAACAGCAAGCAGCGUUAAAAUGGUCUUCCAAAUCAUAAUGCAGUAAGCAGCCUAAGUAAAACGGGAGGAAUGGACACUUUCUGCCCCCUGCAGUUUCUAUUGCUAUCUCGAUUUUUAAGACAGCCUUAGGAGGGAUAGGUGGUACAUUAGCAUUCUAGAAACCUAACAAUUUAACAUCUGGCUACCUAGCACCAACAGCCAAAACAUUUUUUAUACCUAGGUUCAUUUGAAUAACUGUUAAAUUAAUCAACAUUUCCUAUUAAUGAUCACCUAGCUAUUUUGAAUGUUUUCUGCGGUAACUGAAUGACGUGAUUGUCCCUGGCUUUGCAACAGAAACAACGAUCACCUCUCACCAAACCUUUAUUUGACUUCUUCAUUUUGAUUAGCAUCAAGAACGGGAAUUCUCGCCAAUGAGCUGGUACUCUCAAGAAGUCAGAGACAUGCUCCUAAAAUGUAUAUAAACACACGCCCUAUAUAUUAUAUAUAAAGAAUAUACGUCUGUGUACAUAUAUAAUCCUAUAUAAAGGAGAGUGGAUUUUCUAGCUAUUAGACUGCAAACAGUCCUCAAAACAGAGAAUGCUGUUUAUGAAAUUUUACAUUUAAAGCUGCAAGGCAUACAUAUGGACGGAGAUUUCGGUAAAGAAAAAAUUUACAGAAGGUCUCACGUCCACAUGCAGGAAUGCCAAGUACCGUUACUGCUUAUACACUUUCUUCAAUCUUUAUGAAUGCAGACUGGGAACUGAACCCCAAAUUCAUCCAGCCAAAGUGUCUCCCUGUCUGUGAUCACUUACUCCCACACAUUUCAGGCUGGCUGAAUUCAAGAAUCCAACUAUUUUCAGGGUGGGUGGUAACCUGCUCAAAAAAAAAAAAAAAAAAAAACAUGCAUUUUUAUCACAUACUUGGAAAACUGAUGUUUUCCAUGAGAUGAUAAUUUUGAAACAAUCUUGUUCUGCUUUAUGAGCCUGACUGUACAAAGAAGUAAAGAGGAAUUGAGAACAGACUGAUUACAGUAGGAAAUUAUUUAUUGCCAGCUGAUUUUUAACCAAUGAUGAGUGCAUCACUACUGUUAGAUUUCGGAAGAAAAAAAAACAAACUGUUGCAGCAUACAAAUGAUAUGCAGGUUACAAAGGAUGCUCCAUAUUAAAAUAGGAAAGUUAAAGCGUUAAUUUCACUGAUGAAAUUCACCUGAGACAUCUUUCCUUACCUAUAUUUUUUAUUCCAAAACACACGUGUAUUUUUCCUCCGCUUAAGCUGUAUGUACCCCGCAGCAUAUACCAUUUUUAUUUUGACACACUGAAGGUUAAAUAAAACCAAAUUUAGACUACUAUACUUCAUGAUAUUAGUUUGCAACAGAUUAUAUAGGUUGAAAACAACUUGGGCUAUGUUUUGCAGGGCUACCAACUGAGUGCCUAUACUUAAGACAUUUCUUCUGUGAUCCCAUUUUUUCCCCUUUAAGUAAAAAAGGGACAACUGGAGUGUCCUGAGAACACAAACCAAACACAGAACUGCGAACUGCCUCACCCCUCAAGACCAUCAUUCACACCAUUACCAGUUGUUAUGAAUAAGCCGAGCAGCUUCAGGAGCACCAACCAGGACCAGAAAGUUUUUCACGGGUUGCUUCACCACCAGCAGAACCCGGGCUGUCCCAAACCCCAACUUUUCCUACGUGUAGCUGCUGCGCUCCCCUUCUCGGCCAUUAACACCAUCACUGAUAGAAAUCUGCAAAGUCACUUCCAAGUAAAAACUAGUUGAUUGUAGGGAAAACAGCAGUUAGUUGAACAGUUAAAGGGCAUCCUCCAGAAACGCGCAUUUGGCCAGGAGCUGAAUUUUCAAACAUAGGUGGGAAAAACUCAGGAAUCCCCUGAUUAAGCGUUUCCCCUGCCGGAAAGGGGCUGGGAAGGCCCGACUGAUUGACAGAUCACCCAGCCAACGGCAAGAAGAGGCAGCACCUCUGUUUAGAACUCUGCCUCAAGAUUGGCCGGCUCACCCGUCAAUCUCACGGCAAGCCGCGAGCCGAUUGGCGGCGAGGCGCGGCGGGGGCGGUGCCGCCCAGCAGCGGCAGCAACAGCCUGCGCUGUGAGGGCAGCGGCGCUGUCACAUCCGCCGGGGACGGCCUCGGGGAUGCCUGAGGGGAGCGGGGCUGCGGCGCUGGGCAGCGCCCGGCUCCCACCCGGGGGACCCGGCCCCAGCCGGCGGAGGAGGUUCCGGGCACGGCUCCGCGUUGCCCUCAGGCCCGCCCGUGCCCCCUUCCCUGCUCUGGUGGAAGAAAUAAAAGCUCCCUGUAACC